UUGCAUUUAUGUUUGUUUUCAGUUUUUACUCCAUGACCGUAGACCAAAUGAAGAGCCUUCAGUAAAUGGUCAAGCUUACUACACCACUCUGUCAUUUUUGGAGUGCAGUUUAGCUCGCCCUGAGCUGAAACACUCAAACGCUUUAGUGAGAACAUCACAGCAUCCACAUCUACUCACGUUGCUCAAGGUAGUGAGCAGCAAGGUACAAGUUCUCUGGAUCUUGUUCCUUGGCACUUCUCAUUUUCUCCAAGAGGUCAGCUGGCAGCCCUGUUUCACUGUGCUUGAAAGCACUCACUAACCCCAAGACAUGGCUGGUUUU
Non-coding RNA from Plectropomus leopardus (leopard coralgrouper), 319 nucleotides. NCBI's taxonomy places the organism in Eukaryota, Metazoa, Chordata, Actinopteri, Perciformes, Serranidae. The record is from RefSeq and is a predicted model, not a curated record.